Molecule: ribosomal RNA, 1001 nt
Filed under: uncultured bacterium
Lineage: Bacteria
Description: partial 16S ribosomal RNA
Rfam family: Bacterial small subunit ribosomal RNA
Source: RNAcentral
AGAGUUUGAUCCUGGCUCAGAAUGAAUGCUAGUUCUAGGCUUAUACACAUGCAAGUUGAAUGCUAUUUGAGGCUUGAGUUAAUCAAGUAAGAAGCAUGGCGUACGGGUGCAGAGGAGGUGAGAAUCUACCUUACUGUUCUGAAUAAUGAAAAAAAUACAGCAUAAAAUCUUUUGUACGGACGGACAGCCGCCGUUUAAUCUAGCCAACUAGUACAGAUACUCAGGGAUGACCUUUAUUUUGGUUGAAGCUUCCCACCGCCAUAGUAUAACCAAGAUGGAAAAAACUAAGCAAAAGAUUAAAGAUUUUAUCGCAGUAAGUCGAGCUUAUCAAGUAUUAAGGUAGUUGGGCGUAUAAGAGACCACCAAGCCGACGAUGCUUUGCGGGUCUGGAAGGACGAUCCGCCACACGGAGACUGAAAAACGGCUCUGACGCGUUAAUAGCGGCAGCAGUGAGGAAUAUUGGACAAUGGACGAAAGUUUGAUCCAGCCAUGGGACAUAGGGGACAGGAAAACUCGAUGAGGUUGUAAACCCAUUUUGCAAGCAAAGAUCAUGACAUUAGCUUGAGAAAAAAGUCCCGGCUAACUUCGUGCCAGCAGCCGCGGUAAUACGAAGGGGACAAGUGUUAUUCAGAUGAACUGGGCGUAAAGAGCUUUUAGGCGGUUACAGCAAAGUUAAAGGUAAAAUAUCGAAGGUGAACUUUGAAAUGUCCUUUAAAACAUGUAACUUUGAGUUUGAUUAGGGUAUGCACUACGGCUGUGAAAGUAAGGAUCAAAUCUUCUGAUUUUCCACGGAGUUCCAAAGGUGAAGACAGCAUUCCAAUAAAACUGACGCUAAAUGGCAAAGGCAUGGGUAUCGACUGGGAUUAGAUACCCCAUUAGUCCAUGCAGUGACUUAUGAGUGUUCGGCGCUACCUAGAUAUGGUAGCUCUUUUGUAGCUAACGCAUAAACACUCCGCCUGAGAAGUACGGCCGCAAGGUUAAAACUCAAAGGAAUUGACGGG